This 56-nucleotide transfer RNA is filed under the name Salmonella enterica subsp. enterica serovar Braenderup. Its description in RNAcentral is "tRNA-Arg". It matches the Rfam family "tRNA", at positions 8 to 60 of the family's 71-position model. From Rfam's summary of the family: Transfer RNA (tRNA) molecules are approximately 80 nucleotides in length. Their secondary structure includes four short double-helical elements and three loops (D, anti-codon, and T loops). The record is from RNAcentral. Lineage: Bacteria; Pseudomonadati; Pseudomonadota; Gammaproteobacteria; Enterobacterales; Enterobacteriaceae.
UAGCUCAGUUGGAUAGAGCAACGGCCUUCUAAGCCGUGGGUCGCAGGUUCGAAUCC